GUGUUUGUAGAAAAGAGAGAUGGUUGACAUCUCCCUAACAAGGACGGGAAUAGCCUUGGGCUUUUCCUUAUUAGCAAACACAUCAGUUUAGGCAACUCACUUCGAUAGAUCUAUAACCUACCUCAAAGCUUUUA
Molecule: small nuclear RNA, 134 nt
Organism: Ipomoea triloba (trilobed morning glory)
Lineage: Eukaryota; Viridiplantae; Streptophyta; Magnoliopsida; Solanales; Convolvulaceae
Source: RefSeq, a predicted model, not a curated record